UUGAACGCUGGCGGCAGGCCUAACACAUGCAAGUCGAGCGGCAGCGCGGGGCAACCUGGCGGCGAGCGGCGGACGGGUGAGUAACGCGUAGGAAUCUACCCAGUAGCGGGGGAUAGCCCGGGGAAACUCGGAUUAAUACCGCAUACGCCCUAAGGGGGAAAGCAGGGGAUCGUAAGACCUUGCACUAUUGGAAGAGCCUGCGUUGGAUUAGCUAGUUGGUAGGGUAAAGGCCUACCAAGGCGACGAUCCAUAACUGGUCUGAGAGGAUGAUCAGUCACACCGGAACUGAGACACGGUCCGGACUCCUACGGGAGGCAGCAGUGAGGAAUAUUGGGCAAUGGGCGCAAGCCUGAUCCAGCCAUGCCGCGUGUGUGAAGAAGGCCUUCGGGUUGUAAAGCACUUUCAGUAGGGAGGAAGGAUGUUGUGUUAAUAGCACAGCAUUUUGACGUUACCUACAGAAGAAGCACCGGCUAACUCUGUGCCAGCAGCCGCAGUAA
Molecule: ribosomal RNA, 497 nt
Filed under: uncultured bacterium
Lineage: Bacteria
Description: partial 16S ribosomal RNA
Rfam family: Bacterial small subunit ribosomal RNA
Source: RNAcentral